UACUAUAUAGUUUAAACUAAUAAAACAUUAAUCUUGUAAAUUAAAAUUAAAUCAAAAUACACGAUUUUAUAGUAA
Molecule: non-coding RNA, 75 nt
Organism: Cephus cinctus (wheat stem sawfly)
Lineage: Eukaryota; Metazoa; Arthropoda; Insecta; Hymenoptera; Cephidae
Source: the annotation of a RefSeq genome assembly